RNAcentral lists this long non-coding RNA (322 nucleotides) under Bos mutus (wild yak). RNAcentral's name for it is "lncRNA (ENSBMUG00000011421.1)". Lineage: Eukaryota; Metazoa; Chordata; Mammalia; Artiodactyla; Bovidae. The record is from RNAcentral.
CGGCUGAGUAUCCUUGUGCUUUUGGCUACUGGCAUUCUGCAGCAGCUGUCUGAAGGAGAUGGAGAGCUCCAACAGGGAUGGGCCGGAACUCCAGCUGCUGUGAGAGCAGAGAGAUGGAGUGAAUCUGGACCCUUCAUGGUAUCAUGAAACCAUCAAACUCUGAAACAACCUACACUGAGGUUUUAAAAAUGAUUAAAGAAAGUGAGAUUGAGAGACCGUCCUUCCUCAGCUGGUCCAGGAUCAACCACUUCUCCACUCUACAAGCACUACCUAGGGGCAUCUAUGUCUUCAGCGAUAAAGUUGGUUACCAACUUAACGGGCC